AUGAGCUGUGGAUAGCGGAGAAAUUCCAAUCGAACUCGGAGAUAGCUGGUUCUCCCCGAAAUAGCUUUAGGGCUAGCCUCGAUUUAGAUUACCGGGGGUAGAGCACUGAAUGGGCUAGGGGGCCACAAAGCUUACCGAACCCUAUCAAACUUCGAAUACCGGAUAAUUGAUGAUCGGGAGUCAGACAGUGUGAGAUAAGUUUCAUUGUCGAAAGGGAAACAGCCCAGAUCUACGACUAAGGUCCCAAAGUUCAAGUUAAGUGGAAAAGGAUGUGCAAUUGCGUAGACAACCAGGAUGUUGGCUUAGUAGCAGCCAUUCAUUCAAAGAGUGCGUAAUAGCUCACUGGUCGAGUGAUUGUGCGCCGAAAAUGUAACGGGGCUAAACUUGACACCGAAGUCUAGGCAGAAGGAAACUUCUGGGUAGGGGAGCAACGUGUACGGGCAGAAGCAGAAGCGGAAGCGACUGUGGACUGUACAGGAGAGAGAAUGCCGGCAUGAGUAGCGAGAGCAAAGUGAGAAUCUUUGCCGUCGAAAGCCUAAGGUUUCCUGAGGAAGGCUCGUCCUCUCAGGGUAAGUCGGGACCUAAGCCGAGGACAAUAGUCGUAGGCGAUGGACAAUCGGUUAAUAUUCCGAUACCGCCGAGCAACCGGAUGCAGUGACACAGAAGGAUAGGCAGAGCGUGGCGAUGGUAGACCACGUCCAAGCAGUGAGGCUGUUGUGUAGUGAAGUACGCACAACGGAAGGCUGGGCUGUGAUGGGGAACGAUUACGAUCGGUAAGCUGCUGAAUUCACGCUGGCGAGAAAAGCUGCUACGAAGCGAAGGCGCCCGUACCGCAAACCGACACAGGUAGGCGAGGAGAGAAUCCUAAGACGAGCGGGAGAACCCUUGUUAAGGAACUCGGCAAAAUGACUCCGUAACUUAGGGAGAAGGAGUGCCCAGGAAUGGGCCGCAGAGAAUAGACCCAAGCGACUGUUUACCAAAAACACAGGUCUGUGCGAAGUAGAGAUACGACGUAUACGGGCUGACACCUGCCCAGUGCCGGAAGGUUAAGGGGAAAUGUUAGGGCAACCGAAGCAUGGAACUUAAGCCCCGGUGAACGGCGGCCGUAACUAUAACGGUCCUAAGGUAGCGAAAUUCCUUGUCGGGUAAG
Molecule: ribosomal RNA, 1150 nt
Filed under: human gut metagenome
Description: bacterial LSU rRNA
Rfam family: Bacterial large subunit ribosomal RNA
Source: RNAcentral